This 404-nucleotide ribosomal RNA is filed under the name uncultured Clostridium sp. RNAcentral's name for it is "bacterial SSU rRNA". It matches the Rfam family "Bacterial small subunit ribosomal RNA", at positions 355 to 776 of the family's 1533-position model. Lineage: Bacteria; Bacillati; Bacillota; Clostridia; Eubacteriales; Clostridiaceae. The record is from RNAcentral.
UGGGGAAUAUUGCACAAUGGGGGAAACCCUGAUGCAGCGACGCCGCGUGAGUGAAGAAGUAUUUCGGUAUGUAAAGCUCUGUCAGCAGGGAAGAAAAUGACGGUACCUGACCAAGAAGCCCCGGCUAACUACGUGCCAGCAGCCGCGGUAAUACGUAGGGGGCAAGCGUUAUCCGGAUUUACUGGGUGUAAAGGGAGCGUAGACGGUGAUGCAAGUCUGGAGUGAAAGCCCGGGGCCCAACCCCGGGACUGCUUUGGAAACUGUGUGACUGGAGUGCAGGAGAGGUAAGUGGAAUUCCUAGUGUAGCGGUGAAAUGCGUAGAUAUUAGGAGGAACACCAGUGGCGAAGGCGGCUUACUGGACUGUAACUGACGUUGAGGCUCGAAAGCGUGGGGAGCAAACAGG